GAUGAACGCUGGCGGCGUGCCUAAUACAUGCAAGUCGAGCGAACAGACGAGGAGCUUGCUCCUCUGACGUUAGCGGCGGACGGGUGAGUAACACGUGUAUAACCUACCUAUCAGACUUGGAUAACUUCGGGAAACCGUAGCUAAUACCGGAUAAUAUAUUUAACCGCAUGGUUCAAUAGUGAAAGGCGGUUUUGCUGUCACUUAUAGAUGGAUCCGCGCCGCAUUAGCUAGUUGGUAAGGUAACGGCUUACCAAGGCAACGAUGCGUAGCCGACCUGAGAGGGUGAUCGGCCACACUGGAACUGAGACACGGACCAGACUCCUACGGGAGGCAGCAGUAGGGAAUAUUACGCAAUGGGCGAAAGCAUGACGGAGCAACGCCGCGUGAGUGAUGAAGGUCUUCGGAUCGUAAAACUCUGUUAUUAGGGAAGAACAAAUGUGGAAGUAACUAUGCACGUAUUGACGGUACCUAAUCAGAAAGCAACGGCUAACUACGUG
RNAcentral lists this ribosomal RNA (497 nucleotides) under uncultured bacterium. RNAcentral's name for it is "partial 16S ribosomal RNA". It matches the Rfam family "Bacterial small subunit ribosomal RNA", at positions 28 to 507 of the family's 1533-position model. The record is from RNAcentral.